UACGUAGGGAGCAAGCGUUGUCCGGAAUCAUUGGGCGUAAAGCGCGCGUAGGCGGCCCUGUAAGUCCGCUGUGAAAGUCAAAGGCUCAACCUUUGAAUGCCGGUGGAUACUGCAGGGCUAGAGUCCGGAAGAGGCAAGUGGAAUUCCUGGUGUAGCGGUGAAAUGCGUAGAUAUCUGGAGGAACACCGGUGGCGAAGGCGGCAUCCUGGACCGGCAUUGACGCUGAGGCGCGAAAGCCAGGGGAGCAAACGGG
Molecule: ribosomal RNA, 253 nt
Filed under: uncultured bacterium
Lineage: Bacteria
Description: partial 16S ribosomal RNA
Rfam family: Bacterial small subunit ribosomal RNA
Source: RNAcentral